UCCCGGCUGGCUCAGUUGGUGGAGCAUGUGACUCUUGAUCUCAGGGUCAUGGGUUCAAGCCCCACACUGGGCG
This 73-nucleotide transfer RNA is filed under the name Felis catus (domestic cat). It matches the Rfam family "tRNA". Rfam says of the family: Transfer RNA (tRNA) molecules are approximately 80 nucleotides in length. RNAcentral also lists the same sequence under 1 other name. Lineage: Eukaryota; Metazoa; Chordata; Mammalia; Carnivora; Felidae. The record is from Rfam by way of RNAcentral.